UCGAGUUAGGGUCCUCGUGGCCCGAUCUCCAACCCUUUGUAUAACUACCAUGUUGCUUUGGCGAGCCCGUCUUUAACCGGACCGCCGGAGGUGUUAUAGCCUCUGGCCCGUGCUCGUCAGUAGCCCACAUAAAUUCUUUUUAACCAUGUUAAAUCUGAAACUAGUUAAAUAAACUA
This 176-nucleotide unclassified non-coding RNA is filed under the name uncultured fungus. RNAcentral's name for it is "sequence contains ITS1, 5.8S rRNA gene". The record is from RNAcentral. Lineage: Eukaryota; Fungi.